Molecule: long non-coding RNA, 6598 nt
Filed under: Sus scrofa (pig)
Lineage: Eukaryota; Metazoa; Chordata; Mammalia; Artiodactyla; Suidae
Description: lncRNA (ENSSSCG00000059782.1)
Source: RNAcentral
GACUUUCCAGGAUGUGGGUUCCCUUUCUCCUCCACAGUUCCCUUUCAGGAGUGCCCAUCCAGUCCCGAUUCCCCUUCUCUCACUCUCCUCUUUUCUCUUGUUUUACCCAGUUAUGUCAAGAGAUUCUUGCCAUUAUUGGAGGUUUAAGUUCUUCCGCCAGCGUUUAGUUGCUGUUCUGUGCAAGUCCUUUAACAUGUAGAUAUUUUUGUGGUUGUUGUGUUUGUGGGAGAGGGUGAGCGUGUCCCCCUACUCUUCCACCAUCUUGCCUUGUCUCUUUUGUGUUUUUUAAUCUAUGUAAAAAUUUCAUUGAAAAAUUAAGUUUACAGAAACGGACUCACAGUUAGAGAGGACAAACUGGUGGUUACCUUGGGGAGAAGGAAAGGGGAGGGGCAAGAUAGGGGUUAAAAGCACAAGCUACAUUGUCUAAAAUAACCAAUUUACAAGGAUAUGCUGUGCAACACAAGGAGUACAGACAAUAUUUAUAACAACUCUAAAUGGAAUAGUCUUAUUAAAUUUUUGAAUCACUGUGUUGUACACCUGAAACUAAUAUAAGAUUGUAAAUCAGGCAUUCCCAUCGUGGCUCACUGGAAAUGAAUCUGACUAGCAACCAUGAGGACACAGUUUCAAUCCCUGGCCUCGCUCAGUGUGUUAUGGAUCUGAUGUUGCUGAGAGCUGUGGUGCAGCUCAUAUGUGGAGUUGCUGUGGAGGAGGAUCCGGAGUUGCUGAUUCGACAUCUAGCCUGGGAACAUCCAUAUGUUGUGGGUGCGGCCCCCCCCAAAAAAAGAUUGUAAAUCAACUACAUGUCAAUUUAAAUAAUUACGUUUAUUUCCAAAUGAUGUUUUUCCAUAAGUACUAUAACUUCCAGAAUAGAAUGAUAGCUAUUAGGAAACAUAUCCAGGCCUUGUAGCACAGGCACAAGACAAAUAUUGAUCUGUUGACCAUUGAAAGCAGGGAACUAGAAGGAAAGGAGAAAGGGCAAACCCUUGGUAUUAGUCAGAACUUUUCAGCACAAGAUUCAGAAAACCCAUCUCAAACUGGCUUAAUUCUGAAAGAGGCAUUUCUUGGCUCUGAAACACCCAGGAGCAAGGCUGGUUGCAAACACAGCUGGAAUCGGAGGCAGGAGGGGUGUUCCCAGCUUAGUUCCUCAUUGUCAGGAUCUGAUGCUCAGCCCCGCUUUGCAGAGCGAGGGUUGCUGGCAGCUCGCGAGGUUCACACCACCAGCUGGGUGAAUGGAAAAAGAACACGGGCCUCUCUCUCACUUGGCCUGGCAAAAGAGUCAGUGGGUCUUAUUGGCCCCCUGAACCCAUCACUGCAGCCCGGGCAAUGGCAUCGAUCCGAGAGGGAUGCAAAGAGCUGGGAGAACCCAGCCACCCAAUGGGCAAAGUUGUAGGACCCGGACUCAGCCGCUCUGGAAGAAGCAUGUGAUGUGGGCACUGCCCGUACAUGCAAGGCUAUAUGAAGUUGUUUCUUUUACAGGUAAGUUUCUUCACCUGAGGCUUAUUUUCUCAUGGAGAAAAAUGCCUAGUUCAUAGUGUUGAAAGGAUUAAAUUAAAACCUAAGGAAAGCACCUAAAAGAACAGUAGAAACAAUACUUUUUGAAGAUGAAUUCUUUUUUUCCUUCAUAGUCUUUUUUCUUUAAUUUUUAGAUUUCAUACAAAUUUUAAAGAUUACUUUACAUUUAAGUUAUUAUAAAAUAUUGGCUCUAUUCCCCGUGUUGUACAAUACAAACUGGAGCCGAUCUUAACACCCAAUAGUUUGUUCAUCCUACUCCUCUGCCCCUCCCCUCAUCUCCCCACUGUCACCACUAGUUUGUUUUCUUAUAACUGUGAGUCUGCUUCUUUUUUGUUAUAUUCGCUAGUUUGUCCUGGUUUUUCGAUUCCUCCUAUUAGUGGUGUGGGAAGACGAAUUGUUUCCUUUCUGGCCUUCAAGAGUCCAGGCUUUGCAGAGGCAGCAAUGAUCACUAUCACCAUUAGGUGGCAGUCGUGUGCCAGAAGGUUAAAGGCCUGGGAUUUCUGUCAGUGGAAAUUAAGAACUGGUUAAAAUGAUGAUUGGCAGCUGGAGCAAAGCUUGGGGACUGAGAGGCCAGUUGCCACUGCACUGAAACCAACCUGUGUGACCUUGAUCAAGGUCUGAAUGGAUCUCUGGCCCAGAUUCCCUCCAGUAAAACUUGGGGGCCAAUUCUCCAUUUGGAGUUAAAUCUUUUUUGUUUCUUUCUGUAAAAGGUGAAAUUUGCCUUUCAUAGUAAUAAUCUCAGAAGCCAAAAACUGCUCAACAUGCUUGGUCAUUAAUACAUACUGUUUAAAAAUAUGACUGGAUUAAGCAUGAUCCAUUCAUUUAUCGCUAAGUCGCUGCUACCCUGGGAGGCCUGAGAGCAUUCACGCCAUUUAGUGAGAUGACUAAUGGGCCCGCAGAGAUGCUCUCGAGUUACACACAGCUCAGAAAAUCCUCCUUGGAGGCCAGCAAUUCGAAAACCUCACUAUUAAAAAGAGUCACACUGAGCAGCCUUCAAAAGUAUUCCAGUCAUGUAAUUAUAUUUUAAUGGAAGGUUCUUAAAAUGGCUUGGAAAAGCAGAAGGAGUUCAGAACAUUUCAGGUCUGAAAUAGGUUGGAAGUAUCUGGGGCAGCAGGAGAAAUCAGGAAAUGGUGACAUAUAAUUGGGCUUAAGAAGGAAAAUGAUGACACUCCAUUUUCUGCACGAAUUACAACUUAUAACAAAGUUGAAAUAAGAUGAUGUGAUACAAAUGAGCAUUUACCUGGUAUCAUAUAUCAAGGGAGGAUAUUGCACUUCGUAACACAGAAUUCUUUACAAGCGAAGUGCUGUGCUGGGUCCAUGUUAGUCAGUAUAAAAAUCCUCGCAAAAAGAGACCCCAUUGAAAUUCUAAGGGUGUUCACACAUUUCUGCAUUCCAUAGAGAUGUGGAACAGCCUCGUCUGAACACUUGACCUUUAUUUCUCAGCAUGCUCCUUUUUCAGGAUAAAGCCUCUUGAAUUCUUAAACCUGGCAGGUGGGGGUAAGGAUUCAUUCUCAGGUUUCCUCCUCCUAUAUAAAUCCAGACUGUGCUUUGCCUUAUAAGGAAGGAGAGAAAAUUUAUGAAGGUGUAGUUAACCAAAAUUUCAGAAAUGGAGACCUGAUUGAAAGGAAAAGGUAUUUAUUUGGGGUUGGUUAAGACAGCAACCAAGGAGACACAGAUUCAAGAAGCACUUGAAUUGUGUUCCACUGGACCACAAAAAUGGGGGAGGCUUCUGAAGGCCAAAGCUCUAAGAUUACAAGGAGUUACAUGAGUUGUUUUCAAGAAUUAUUAUAGGAGCUGGCAAGAAGUAGGGGUGAUUGGAAAGUAAGGAUUUGCUGGGCUCUGAAAUUAUUACAUCGUUACAAGAGAUCUUGAGACCUUUUUUCUGCUGGUAGGUUUUGUUCUGAAUAUGGCUGGUUGCAUGCUUGGGUCUGGUACAGUUCAACGAAAGUUCAGGUUCUCAGUGGUGCAAGAACAUGUCUGAGAGCAGAUCUUCAAUGGCCACUCGAUUCUGUUUUUUUGGAAUCUAUCUUCCUGCACUGUGAUGACCCCAUUAUCAUUUUAGUGUGUCAUCGGUAUUUAUUUAUUAGGUUGCUGUUGAAAGAUCUGAAAGAAUGAAAGCUGCUUCAUUUUCUCUUUUUCCUCACACAUUUCAAGGAGGGAGCCAAGACUUGAAGAUCUCUUGCUUUGGGUGGUUGUGGUGAGGUCAGAGCAGAAAGCCCCAGUUACUUUCAUGCCACCUUGAGGGCUUAAGGCACAGCAUGCUGGGCACAUUCCCAGGGUUUCUGCUUCACCAAAUCUGGGGUGGAGUCCAGGAAUUGGUGUUUCUAACCACGAGUCUCCCUUCAGUGCUAGAUAUUGAGGGACAGGACCACACAUGAGAGCUACUAUUUUAAGGCAAUAUCUCUCCCUGGGCAGCCUAGAAACGUUUUCCUUUCAGAAGUCUGAACCUGAGCUUCUGAGAGGGUUAUUCUGGGGAGUGUGCAUGGAGAUAGGAAGGGAUAGUUGAAGGGGUCCAUGGAGGGAACAUCAAAGUUCUUGAAAUUGAGGGACCAGGCAUUCCCAAACCUCAGGAUGGGGGUCUGUGAAUCCUGAACUUGAGGAUCAGUGCCUGUUCCUUAGCCUCACCCCAGGGCUAGGCUGAGCUCAGGUGAGGAUGGGGCUUGACAGUAAGAUGCUUUGUCCAAAACUAGGUAAGCCAGCUUCUUGGAUGAACUUGGACGGUGACCAUCUGGAGCACCUGCGACACAGCGAGAAAUUUGCUUAUACAAAUAUCCCGCCAGAUUUGUAUGUAAACCCUGGGAGAGGAGGACACAUAGCUGAAUUCCUUAGCAGUUUGUUACCAAGUCCAAGCUCACAUUGCUUGCCACAUGACAGCUCAGUAAUUCAAGAGGUGAGGUGUUGGGCGGAGAAAUAGUGACCUUAUUGGGAAAGUCGGCAGACCAAGAUGGUGAACUUGUGUCCCAAAGAACAUUCUUACUGGAGUUAGAAUUCAGCUUCCUUUAUACUAAAAGGAGAGCGGGUGUGGUUGCUUGUUGCAAACUUGUUGCAACAGGCAACUUCUUGAUGCAGAAAUCCUUUGUUCUUGCAGCUGUCCAUGUAUAUCAGAUCACCUGUUCUUGUAAACCUCAAAUAAGACAAAUAUUAUUCUCUGUUCUGUCACUUUUCAUCUCUGUAUGAAUGGGAAAGUGUUAUACCUUUUUUUCAUGUAUUUUCAGGCUAUAGGCAACACUCCCUAACAAAAGGUGCAGGGCCAGCAUGACUUAGCACAGGCAACAGAGCACAAGGGUUAGUGCUAAAAGAAUAGAUUCAAUAUGGAGUCAGGUUCAUUCCUCUCUGCUACAAAUUCAAUAGCACAAGGGAUGGCAGUCAGAUUUAAUUUGAUUUGAAGAAAAUAAUGAGACAUUUCUUGACUACCCAACCUUGAGUAAGUGCCACCCGCUACACGAGUUUCUGACUUAUAAUUCACAUGCUUUAGUAUUUGAGGCCUCUCAAUGCAAAUACAUACACUCAUAUUUCCAUCCCUGCUACAGCUCUGGGUCCUCUUGGGAGGGAGGAGCUGGGCUUUUCCCAACAGCUGUGCAAAUCUCACUCUGUCCAAGGGCUGGGGGCUAAAAUCCAGUCAGGCUAUGAGGAAAAGUGACGUUAUCUAAUUUUUUAACGUGCACACCCCAUUCCUACAUAAAAUUGUACUAUGAAUAUACUAUACCUUAGGCAUUUUCCUAUUGCCUUUCACGUGGUUCUUCCUUUCACCACCUUAACAAAUAUCCUUGUGCAUUUCUCCUGCUGCUGCUGAUCUUCUCCUGCCCUUUCACGUUAGAUACUUAGAAAUGGAAUUGCUCAAUGACCUGACAUUUUCACGUGACUUUUCUCACAGAAAUUCUGCCAAUUAGAGAUGCAUGUGAUAUUAGAAGCAGUUUUUUUUAAAAAAUGCCAAGAUUUCUGAGAGUGUUCGAGCCAUAACCCAAGGGUGUAAAUUAGUCCAAGCAGGUUGCUUUCCUUGAAUUUCUAGUUGAAUAUACUGUCCUGAGCAAAUGAACAGAAAAUCAGAGGAGAAUGAGUGGAGAAAACUAAAAUAGGGACAUUUGGAGUAGGGAUAAGGGCAUGAUGCUUAGUGACUUAAAUUACAUUUAUGUAAUGCAAUGGCACUGGAUUCCUGAGGGUUGAAUACAGAGACAUUAGAAGAUAGAAGAUUGUGAGGAUUAGCUUGUAUCUCAAAAUUAUAGCUCAGUCCAAUCCCAUUUCCCACUAAGAAAGAGGGAAAAACACCCACUUUCUUUUCUCUGGGACCUGGGGCUCAGGUGAUGUGUGUUAAGCCUCAUUAUGGGUUAAAUAGACCUUGAGGGGAUCCCAUGGAAAUUUCAAUCUCAUUGCAGUAUUGCAUCUACAGGGACUGUAUUUCUCUUUCCAAACAAUUGAUUUCAGUAUAUAGUCUUGGUGCUCAACCAUUAAUGAGGAGGGUAAGUUAUGUGGUUGUAAAGCUCAAACUUGAAGGACCAUGCUUUUUUUUUUGGACUUGAAUAAGCACAAUUAAAGUGGUUGAACCAAGAAGAAGCCAUGCCCCAAAAUCUCUAAGAGGUUUCAAAUGCAUUUGCUACAAUUCUUCUCCUUCUCCUUCUUCUUUUUUUUUUUUUUUUUUAACACAGCUGCACCUAAAGCAUGUGGAAGUUCCCAGGUUAGGGAUUGAAUUGGAGCUUCAGCUGCCAGCCUAAGGCAAAACCAGAUCCAAGCUAUGUCUGCAACCUAUGCCACAAGUUGUGGCAACACCAGAUCCCUAACCACUGAACCAGGCCAGAGAUUGAACCCACAUUUUCACAGAGACCAUGUCAAGUUCUUAACCUGCUGAGCCAUAAUGGGAACUCCCCAUUUACUGCAAUUCUGGAGCUGGGUUGGUUAGUUGUCAUGUUAAAAGCCAGGCUUGGAGUUCCCAUCGUGGCUCAGUGGUUAAUGAAUCCGACUAGGAACCAUGAGGUUGCGGAUUUGAUCCCUGGCCUCGCUCAGUGGGUUAAGGAUCCAUCGUUGCCCUGAGCUGUGGUGUAGGUCGAAGACGAGGCUUGGAUCUGGCAUUGCUGUGUCUGUGGUGUAGGCC